Molecule: long non-coding RNA, 260 nt
Organism: Hemicordylus capensis (graceful crag lizard)
Lineage: Eukaryota; Metazoa; Chordata; Lepidosauria; Squamata; Cordylidae
Exons: 3
Source: RefSeq, a predicted model, not a curated record
GGAUAAUAUCAGCAGCUUGCCUCCUGGAGGGAGGGAGUCUGAGCAGGAGGAAGGAGAAGGCAAGAAGCAUUGGCAACAGCUGUAAGGGGUAAUCAAUUACAGGUCCCAGAAAUUACUGUGCACAGGCGAAACAUCCCACAUCAUAUAAAUAAGACUGCUGUUUGGAGGCUCAAGUGGUGACUUUUUGGAUUAGGGAUGUUACACAUUUUGCGAAUUUCUCAUAAAGAAGAGAAAAUAUAGGCAGGUGAGACUUAGGAUCG